This 113-nucleotide small nuclear RNA is filed under the name Mesocricetus auratus (golden hamster). RNAcentral's name for it is "U2 spliceosomal RNA". It matches the Rfam family "U2 spliceosomal RNA". Rfam says of the family: U2 is a small nuclear RNA (snRNA) component of the spliceosome (involved in pre-mRNA splicing). Complementary binding between U2 snRNA (in an area lying towards the 5' end but 3' to hairpin I) and the branchpoint sequence (BPS) of the intron results the bulging out of an unpaired adenosine, on the BPS, which initiates a nucleophilic attack at the intronic 5' splice site, thus starting the first of two transesterification reactions that mediate splicing. The record is from Rfam by way of RNAcentral. Lineage: Eukaryota; Metazoa; Chordata; Mammalia; Rodentia; Cricetidae.
UGGGCUUUUCAGCCUUUUGGCUAAGAUCAAGUGUAGUAUCUGUUCUUAUCAGUUUAAUAUAUUUUAUUUUUGAUGGACAUGAAAUUUCUAGUCUGUUUGGGUCAUGAAAACUU